CUUCAGGCAAAAAUACUGGAGUGGGUAGCUAUUUCCUUCUCCAGGGGAUCUUUCUGAUCCAGGGAUCAAACCCUUGUCUCCUGCGUUGAAGGUGGAUUCUUUACUGUCUGAACCACUAGGGAAGCCCUAAAAUUAAAUCUAGUAGCUAAGAAAAGAAAUUAUACGCAAAAGUCAACUCCACUUGAUUCUCACCCCAGGCCAGUUGAGGGUAGGCUGCUCCAGCACACGGGCUUUGACUGGCGGGAAGAUGCUCUUCCAUAAAUGCUGGUGGGCUGCCUCCCUCUCCCCCAUUCCCUUCAACAGGUGGCUGGACUUGGAAAGGAAACAGCUCUCUGGCUCAGCAGAAUGCUCUGCGUGGGUAUCCAAUUGUUUUUACUACAAUUUAUUUACAUGUACAAUUAUUUAAUGUACAAUUUAUUACAAAUAAAUAUCGGUGUAUUUAUUGCACUCAGACUGCAUCCAGGGACUCUUUGUGGCUCUGGCAACACAGUGAUGAACAAACAGACACAGGCAUGGUCUUCAAGGGGCUUCCUUGCAUGCGCGGUAUUAUAGUCAGGCAAACAAAUAUCUAACCUAUGACAAUGAAGCCGUGACCAAAAGUAACAAGGCACUCAGCCGGUCAGAGAGUGACGGGAGCUGCAUUUUCAGAUGGGUGGUCAGAAAGGGUCUCUUUGUUUAGGAGAAUUGAAGGAAGCGCAGGAGGAAACCAUGCAGAAGGGCAGAGGGGCUGAAGUAAGAGCAAAGGCCCUGAACUUUCACUUAAUGCUACUUCCUUCCAUCUUUAGACCAGCCCUGCAAAUCGAUACAUAUUAUGCCCUCCAUUGGAGGACAGAAAAAAGGGAAGCCCAGCAAGACGAGGAACUUUCUCCAAAAUGCAGCCAGGGUGGGGCCAGGAUCAAGUUCAUCUUCUCUGACUCUGAAGACGGUGCUGUGAACUCAGGGGGCUGUGUGCCUGAAAGUGGGGAUAAAGAAAGAAAGAAAGUGAAGUCACUCAGUUGUGUCCAACUCUUUGCGACCCCAUGGACUGUAUCCCACCAGGCUCCUCCGUCCGUGGGAUUCUCCAGGCAAGAAUACUGGGGUGGGUUGCCAUUUCCUUCUCCAGGAGAUCUUCCUGAUCCAGGGAUGGAACCCAGGUCUCCGGUGCUGUAGGCAUACGCCUUACUGUCUGAGCCACCAGGGAAGUCCAACAUUAAAAAACAUUCCAGAAUAAAGUCAACAUUAAAAAAUUCCCCAUGGUAUGUAUGUAUGUACUUUUAUUGAGGCAUAGGUGAUGUCCAGUAUUAUAUGUUCAAGUGUGCAACAUAGGGACUCACAAUGUAAAGGCUGUAUUUCAUUUAUAGUUUUUAUAAAACACUGGGCAUGUUUCUUGUGCUAUAUCCUAUAGAGAUAAAUAAGCUGUC
Molecule: long non-coding RNA, 1400 nt
Filed under: Bos grunniens (domestic yak)
Lineage: Eukaryota; Metazoa; Chordata; Mammalia; Artiodactyla; Bovidae
Description: lncRNA (ENSBGRG00000007024.1)
Source: RNAcentral